Molecule: ribosomal RNA, 429 nt
Filed under: uncultured bacterium
Lineage: Bacteria
Description: bacterial SSU rRNA
Rfam family: Bacterial small subunit ribosomal RNA
Source: RNAcentral
UGGGGAAUAUUGGACAAUGGGGGGAACCCUGAUCCAGCAAUGCCGCGUGUGUGAAGAAGGCCUUCGGGUUGUAAAGCACUUUAGUCUAGGAGGAAGUUGCAAAGUUUAAGAGAUAUUGUAAUUGACUGUACUAGAAGAAUAAGCACCGGCUAACUCUGUGCCAGCAGCCGCGGUAAUACAGAGGGUGCGAGCGUUAAUCGGAGUUACUGGGCGUAAAGGGCGCGUAGGCGGUUGUUUAAGAUUGAUGUGAAAUCCCUGGGCUUAACCUAGGAAGUGCAUCGAUGACUGGACAGCUAGAGUAUUGUAGAGGGUGGCGGAAUUUCCGGUGUAGCGGUGAAAUGCGUAGAGAUCGGAAAGAACACCAGUGGCGAAGGCGGCCACCUGGACAAAUACUGACGCUGAGGCGCGAAAGCGUGGGGAGCAAACAGG